AUCUAACCUGCAGUCGACGGUGGAUCACGAGCUUGCUCUUGUGGAUCAGUGGCGAACGGGUGAGUAACACGUGAGCAACCUGCCCCUGACUCUGGGAUAAGCGCUGGAAACGGCGUCUAAUACUGGAUAUGUGACGUGACCGCAUGGUCUGCGUUUGGAAAGAUUUUUCGGUUGGGGAUGGGCUCGCGGCCUAUCACCUUGUUGGUGAGGUAAUGGCUCACCAAGGCGUCGACGGGUAGCCGGCCUGAGAGGGUGACCGGCCACACUGGGACUGAGACACGGCCCACACUCCUACGGGAGGCAGCAGUGGGGAAUAUUGCACAAUGGGCGAAAGCCUGAUGCAGCAACGCCGCGUGAGGGAUGACGGCCUUCGGGUUGUAAACCUCUUUUAGCAGGGAAGAAGCGAAAGUGACGGUACCUGCAGAAAAAGCGCCGGCUAACUACGUGCCAGCAGCCGCGGUAAUACGUAGGGCGCAAGCGUUAUCCGGAAUUAUUGGGCGUAAAGAGCUCGUAGGCGGUUUGUCGCGUCUGCUGUGAAAUCCCGAGGCUCAACCUCGGGCCUGCAGUGGGUACGGGCAGACUAGAGUGCGGUAGGGGAGAUUGGAAUUCCUGGUGUAGCGGUGGAAUGCGCAGAUAUCAGGAGGAACACCGAUGGCGAACGCAGAUCUCUGGGCCGUAACUGACGCUGAGGAGCGAAAGGGUGGGGAGCAAACAGGCUUAGAUACCCUGGUAGUCCACCCCGUAAACGUUGGGAACUAGUUGUGGGGUCCAUUCCACGGAUUUCGUGACGCAGCUAACGCAUUAUGUUCCCCGCCUGGGGAGUACGGCCGCACGGCUAAACUCAAAGGAAUUGACGGGCACCCGCACAAGCGGCGGAGCAUGCGGAUUAAUUCCAUGCACCGCGAAGAACCUACCCAGGCUUGACUUAUACGAGACCGGACCCGAAAUGGUCAACUCCUUUGUACACUCGUAACAGGUGGUC
RNAcentral lists this ribosomal RNA (982 nucleotides) under uncultured prokaryote. RNAcentral describes it as "bacterial SSU rRNA". It matches the Rfam family "Bacterial small subunit ribosomal RNA", at positions 48 to 1043 of the family's 1533-position model. The record is from RNAcentral.